Molecule: ribosomal RNA, 1366 nt
Filed under: Melitaea ambigua
Lineage: Eukaryota; Metazoa; Arthropoda; Insecta; Lepidoptera; Nymphalidae
Description: 16S ribosomal RNA
Source: RNAcentral
GGGGUUAAAUUAAUAGUGGUUGAGAUAAUAAAAAAAAUUUUAAUAUUAAAAAGAAAAAAAGGGGGGUUUGAGUAUUUUUAAUAGAAAAAAUUAAAAGUUUUAUAGUAAAAUAUUACUGUAAAGGAAAUUAUAAAUAUAUGAAAUUUAAUUAAUUAAAAAGUAAAUUUAAUUUAUUGUAUCUUGUGUAUCAAAGUUUAUUAAAUAGUAAUAAUUUAUUUAAAUAAAUCUCGAAUUUAAAAGAGUUAAUUAAUUAAUAAAGUUAAUGUUGUAUAAUUAUUUUAAAUAAUUAAUUAGAAAUGAAAUGUUAAUCGUUUUUAAAUAUAUCUAGUUUUUUUAAAAAAAAAUUUAAUUUUAAAUUUAAAUAAUUUUAUAAUUUUUUAAUUAAUUAUAAAAAUUUAAAAUUUAAUAUUUUAAGGGAUAAGCUUUAAUUUAAAUAUAUUAUAAUUGAAUUAAUUUAACAAUUAAAAUUUUUAAAAUUUAUAUUGUUUAAAAAUUAUAAUUUAUUAUAAAAAAUUUUAUUUAAAAAUAAAAUUUAAUUAAAAUUUAAAUUUUUAUAAAAAAAUAAUUUAUAAUAAAAAAAAAUUAAAAAUAAUGAUAAAAUUAGUAUAUUAAAUUUAAUAAUAAUAAAUUUAAUUAUAAUUAAAUUAAAGGAAUUCGGCAAAAAUUUAUAUUCACUUGUUUAUCAAAAACAUGUCUUUUUGAAAAUAAUUUAAAGUCUAAUCUGCCCACUGAUAAAAUUAUUAAAGGGCUGCAGUAUAUUGACUGUACAAAGGUAGCAUAAUCAUUAGUCUUUUAAUUGAAGACUUGUAUGAAAGAUUUGAUGAAAUAUAUACUGUCUCUAAUUUAUGAAUAAAAAUUAAUUUUUUAGUUAAAAAGCUAAAAUAAUAUUAAAAGACGAGAAGACCCUAUAAAGUUUUAUAAUUUAUUUAUUUAAUAUUAAUUAUAUAAUUAAAUAUAAUAAUUAAUUUAAAUUAUUUUAUUGGGGUGAUAAAAAAAUUUAAUUAACUUUUUUUUAAAAAUAUACAUAAAUAAGUGUGAUAUUGAUCCAUUAUUAAUGAUUAAAAGAAAAAAUUACUUUAGGGAUAACAGCGUAAUAUUUUUUUUUAGUACGAAUAAAAAAAAAAGUUUGCGACCUCGAUGUUGGAUUAAGAUAAAAUUUAAAUGCAAAAGUUUAAAAUUUUGAUCUGUUCGAUCAUUAAAAUCUUACAUGAUCUGAGUUCAGACCGGUGUGAGCCAGGUUGGUUUCUAUCUUUAAUAAAAAUAAAUAUUUUAGUACGAAAGGAUCAAUUAUUUGAAAUAAUUUUAUUUAUAAGAAUAUUAUUAAUAUGUAUAUAUAUAUAUAUAUAUAUAUAAGUAUAUAGUUUAA